GGCCGGGUGUGCGACGGAUACAAGACCCGCAAGGGGAAGAAGUCCGCCGUUUCUUGUGACGGUGUUUAGCGCCCGGCCGCCCUCCG
This 86-nucleotide non-coding RNA is filed under the name Nitrosovibrio sp. Nv17. RNAcentral describes it as "sRNA-Xcc1". It matches the Rfam family "sRNA-Xcc1". Lineage: Bacteria; Pseudomonadati; Pseudomonadota; Betaproteobacteria; Nitrosomonadales; Nitrosomonadaceae. The record is from Rfam by way of RNAcentral.